Molecule: ribosomal RNA, 428 nt
Filed under: bacterium
Lineage: Bacteria
Description: partial 16S ribosomal RNA
Rfam family: Bacterial small subunit ribosomal RNA
Source: RNAcentral
UGGGGAAUCUUGCGCAAUGGGCGAAAGCCUGACGCAGCGACGCCGCGUGCGGGAAGAAGGCCUUCGGGUUGUAAACCGCCUUCAGGAGGGACGAAGCCACUCGGGUGAACAGCCCAGAGGGUGACGGUACCUCCAGAAGAAGCCCCGGCUAACUUCGUGCCAGCAGCCGCGGUAAUACGUAGGGGGCAAGCGUUGUCCGGAUUCAUUGGGCGUAAAGAGCGUGUAGGCGGCCAGGUAGGUCGGUUGUGAAAACUGGAGGCUCAACCUUGAGAGGUCGACCGAAACCAUCUGGCUAGAGUCCGGGAGAGGAGAGUGGAAUUCCUGGUGUAGCGGUGAAAUGCGCAGAUAUCAGGAAGAACACCCGUGGCGAAAGCGGCUCUCUGGAACGGUACUGACGCUGAGACGCGAAAGCGUGGGGAGCGAACAGG